CACGCUGUAAACGAUGGAUACUAGGUGUAGGGGGUAUCGACCCCCCCUGUGCCGGAGUUAACACAAUAAGUAUCCCGCCUGGGGAGUACGGCCGCAAGGUUGAAACUCAAAGGAAUUGACGGGGGCCCGCACAAGCAGCGGAGCAUGUGGUUUAAUUCGACGCAACGCGAAGAACCUUACCAGGUCUUGACAUCCAUUUAAAGCCUCAGAGAUGAGGUGUCUCGCAAGAGGAAAUGAGACAGGUGG
RNAcentral lists this ribosomal RNA (246 nucleotides) under uncultured Bacillota bacterium. Its description in RNAcentral is "uncultured Firmicutes bacterium partial 16S ribosomal RNA". It matches the Rfam family "Bacterial small subunit ribosomal RNA", at positions 796 to 1041 of the family's 1533-position model. The record is from RNAcentral. Lineage: Bacteria; Bacillati; Bacillota.